This 76-nucleotide transfer RNA is filed under the name bacterium. Its description in RNAcentral is "tRNA-Val". It matches the Rfam family "tRNA". Rfam says of the family: Transfer RNA (tRNA) molecules are approximately 80 nucleotides in length. RNAcentral also lists the same sequence under 2 other names. The record is from RNAcentral.
GGGCGAAUAGCUCAGCUGGGAGAGUGCCUGGAUCACACCCAGGAGGUCACAGGUUCGAGCCCUGUUUCGCCCACCA